UACGUAGGGUGCAAGCGUUUGUCCGGAAUUAUUGGGCGUAAAGAGCUCGUAGGCGGUCUGUCGCGUCGGCUGUGAAACCCGGAGCUCAACUCCGGGCCUGCAGUCGAUACGGGCAAACUGGAGUACUGCAGGGGAGACUGGAAUUCCUGGUGUAGCGGUGAAAUGCGCAGACUAUCAGGAGGAACACCGGUGGCGAAGGCGGGUCUCUGGGCAGUAACUGACGCUGGAGGAGCGAAAGCGUGGGGAGCGAACAGG
This 255-nucleotide ribosomal RNA is filed under the name uncultured bacterium. Its description in RNAcentral is "partial 16S ribosomal RNA". It matches the Rfam family "Bacterial small subunit ribosomal RNA", at positions 524 to 776 of the family's 1533-position model. The record is from RNAcentral.